GGGGAUAUAGCUCCAUUGGUAGAGUGCUUGUCUUGCAUGCAGAAGGCCCUGGGUUCAAUCCCCAGCACCACCA
This 73-nucleotide transfer RNA is filed under the name Ictidomys tridecemlineatus (thirteen-lined ground squirrel). RNAcentral's name for it is "Spermophilus tridecemlineatus (thirteen-lined ground squirrel) tRNA". It matches the Rfam family "tRNA". From Rfam's summary of the family: Transfer RNA (tRNA) molecules are approximately 80 nucleotides in length. Their secondary structure includes four short double-helical elements and three loops (D, anti-codon, and T loops). The record is from Rfam by way of RNAcentral. Lineage: Eukaryota; Metazoa; Chordata; Mammalia; Rodentia; Sciuridae.